UACAGUGGCGGUCCCGCCGCAGCUUCCAUUGCGUAGUAGCUAACACCUCGCAACUGGAGAGCGGCGCGGCCACGCCGUAAAACACCCAACUUCUGAAUGUUGACCUCGAAUCAGGUAGGAAUACCCGCUGAACUUAAGCAUAUCAAUAAGCGGAGGAAAAGAAACCAACAGGGAUUGCCCCAGUAACGGCGAGUGAAGCGGCAACAGCUCAAAUUUGAAAUCUGGCUCUCGGGCCCGAGUUGUAAUUUGUAGAGGAUGCUUUUGGUGAGGUGCCUUCCGAGUUCCCUGGAACGGGACGCCAUAGAGGGUGAGAGCCCCGUCUGGUUGGACACCGAUCCUCUGUAAAGCUCYUUCGACGAGUCGAGUAGUUUGGGAAUGCUGCUCUAAAUGGGAGGUAUAUGUCUUC
Molecule: ribosomal RNA, 406 nt
Filed under: fungal sp.
Lineage: Eukaryota; Fungi
Description: eukaryotic LSU rRNA
Source: RNAcentral